This 457-nucleotide ribosomal RNA is filed under the name uncultured bacterium. RNAcentral describes it as "partial 16S ribosomal RNA". It matches the Rfam family "Bacterial small subunit ribosomal RNA", at positions 338 to 795 of the family's 1533-position model. The record is from RNAcentral.
CCUACGGGUGGCAGCAGUGGGGAAUAUUGCACAAUGGGGGAAACCCUGAUGCAGCGACGCCGCGUGAGUGAAGAAGUAUUUCGGUAUGUAAAGCUCUGUCAGCAGGGAAGAAAUAAAGUCCUUCUGACUUUGAGCGGUACCUGACUAAGAGACCCCGGCUAACUACGUGCCCGCGGCCGCGGUAAUACGUAGGGGGCAAGCGUUCUCCGGAUUUACUGGGUGUAAAGGGGUCGUAGACGGUAGCGCAAGUCGGGAGUGCAAUCCCAGGGCUUAACCAUGGAACUGCUUUGGAAACUGUGCAGCUGGAGUGUAGGAGAGGCAGGCGGAAUUCCUGGUGUAGGGGUGAAAUGCGUAGAUAUUAGGAGGAACACCAGUGGCGAAGGCGGCCUGCUGGAAAGAAACUGACGUUGAGGCUCGAAAGCGUGGGGAGCAAACAGGAUUAGAUACCCGGGUAGUC